GUGCCAGCAGCCGCGGUAAUACGUAGGGUGCGAGCGUUAAUCGGAAUUACUGGGCGUAAAGCGUGCGCAGGCGGUUUUGUAAGCCAGAUGUGAAAUCCCCGGGCUCAACCUGGGAAUGGCAUUUGGGACUGCAAGGCUGGAGUGUGGCAGAGGAGACUGGAAUUCCCGGUGUAGCAGUGAAAUGCGUAGAUAUCGGGAGGAAUACCGAUGGCGAAGGCAGGUCUCUGGGCUGACACUGACGCUCAUGCACGAAAGCGUGGGGAGCAAACAGGAUUAGAAACCCGGGUAGUCC
This 292-nucleotide ribosomal RNA is filed under the name uncultured bacterium. RNAcentral describes it as "partial 16S ribosomal RNA". It matches the Rfam family "Bacterial small subunit ribosomal RNA", at positions 505 to 796 of the family's 1533-position model. The record is from RNAcentral.